Molecule: ribosomal RNA, 253 nt
Filed under: uncultured bacterium
Lineage: Bacteria
Description: partial 16S ribosomal RNA
Rfam family: Bacterial small subunit ribosomal RNA
Source: RNAcentral
UACGUAGGGACCAAGCGUUGUCCGGAAUCAUUGGGCGUAAAGAGCGUGUAGGCGGCUUGUUAAGUCUUGCGUGAAAUCUCGGGGCUCAACCCCGAGCGGUCGUGAGAAACUGGCAGGCUAGAGUGCGGGAGAGGAGAGUGGAAUUCCUGGUGUAGCGGUGAAAUGCGCAGAUAUCAGGAAGAACACCCGUGGCGAAGGCGGCUCUCUGGGCCGGUACUGACGCUGAGGAGCGAAAGCGUGGGGAGCAAACAGG